AUUGAACGCUGGCGGCAUGCCUUACACAUGCAAGUCGAACGGCAGCACGGGAGCAAUCCUGGGGGCGAGUGGCGAACGGGUGAGUAAAGUAUCGGAACGUGCCCAGUCGUGGGGGAUAACGUAGCGAAAGUUACGCUAAUACCGCAUACGAUCUAUGGAUGAAAGCGGGGGAUCGCAAGACCUCGCGCGAUUGGAGCGGCCGAUAUCAGAUUAGGUAGUUGGUGGGGUAAAGGCUCACCAAGCCGACGAUCUGUAGCUGGUCUGAGAGGACGACCAGCCACACUGGGACUGAGACACGGCCCAGACUCCUACGGGAGGCAGCAGUGGGGAAUUUUGGGCAAUGGGCGAAAGCCUGAUCCAGCCAUGCCGCGUGCAGGAUGAAGGCCUUCGGGUUGUAAACUGCUUUUGUACGGAACGAAAAGGUUCGGCCUAAUAAGCUGAGCUCAUGACGGUACCGUAAGAAUAAGCACCGGCUAACUACGUGCCAGCAGCCGCCGUAA
RNAcentral lists this ribosomal RNA (500 nucleotides) under uncultured bacterium. RNAcentral describes it as "partial 16S ribosomal RNA". It matches the Rfam family "Bacterial small subunit ribosomal RNA", at positions 30 to 523 of the family's 1533-position model. The record is from RNAcentral.